UAACUGCAUGCAGUAUAGGUUUCACUACAUUUUCUUGCAAUCGGCAGCAUUUAACUAAUCAUUCUGCAGCUGCUUUGUACGAUUUGCAGUAUGGUUCAAAAUUUGUUUUCUUUGGAAAUGGCCUAGAGAUAAAAGAUUCAUUCUCAUGGAUCAAAAGCGCUACCUAGCAAUUUUAAAAAGGAUUGCAACACUUUGAAGACAGGCGUCGUCCUGUGAAAUGCAUUACUUUAUAUUGGUUAUAACCAGUUGCCAAAGAUCGAUAGAGUAACAAAGAAGUAAACGAUUUGUCAAGUCCAACGCCAUGAAUAGGCAUGAUGCACUAACCUUUUGAGCUAGUUGUCUCAUUAAGAUAGUAUGUCCAUUUCAACAAAUAUAGACAUUUUUUUAUCAAUUCUAUUUCUUAAUAAUUCUUUAUUAAUGGGGAUUCUGAGUUAUUGUAGAUCGUAAGUUUGGAUCACACAAACGACAAUGGAAGGUCAACAUGAAAUAUAAAAACAAAUCCGACAUAUUUUCCAUACUUGCAUCCAUACAUGUUACUAUUUUCCGAACAAAUAAGAUUUGAUGUUGUAGUGAGGUUAUGUCACUCGUGCUGACACUAACUUUCUAAAUUCCGUACAAUGCUCUUGAAUUCAUAGAAAGUGCUACUAAUAUAUUAGGGUAUCAAACCGCCAUAUGGAUCCAAAUUGCCUCCUAGCAGUUCAAUAAAUUAUUUGCAGAGGAGAUCGCUGCAAGAAUGAUAUGAAUCGCCAGGAGGCAUAGAUGACACGUAGCGAGUGUCAACAUACCCGAUCAAAGCUUUUAAUCUGAAUUUCCAGACUUGGCUACAAGCAAUAAAUCGAACGAAACUAGAAAGGACUGUAUUUGCUUAGUAUGAGCAAAUUCGGCAACUCUAACUCCACCCUCCUCUUUAUGCAGAAGUGGACUGUUCCAAAAUUGAAUUUGAUA
Long non-coding RNA from Branchiostoma floridae (Florida lancelet), 945 nucleotides. RefSeq lists it as uncharacterized. The record is from RefSeq and is a predicted model, not a curated record. The transcript has 3 exons. NCBI's taxonomy places the organism in Eukaryota, Metazoa, Chordata, Leptocardii, Amphioxiformes, Branchiostomatidae.